RNAcentral lists this long non-coding RNA (1691 nucleotides) under Homo sapiens (human). RNAcentral's name for it is "HSALNT0333280". Lineage: Eukaryota; Metazoa; Chordata; Mammalia; Primates; Hominidae. The record is from RNAcentral.
UCAGAUUCCACAAAUGAGGGCAUUCUGGCCCAAGGUGGCAGGCCGAACUCAAUGAGAAACCACUAUGCUCUGGAGGCAGCUGCAGGUGGAUAAGUGAGGAUCAGUCAUGUUAGACAUGGGAUUUCUGCCUGUGACUUUGGGGUGUCCUCCUGAAAAAUACCCACUUUGUGAUGCACAUGGCUGGGAUCAUUGGCAGUGUCAUGUCCUGGAUUUUCUGAAAGUAACCAACCUGACUUUUGCUUCCCUAGCCUUCCAACGUUUGUGGAAUCUUCCAGUCCCCUAUAUUAAUCUUCUUUCUUCUCAGAAAUACCUAGAUUUGCUUUUGAUUUUGUGAUAUAACCCUGACUGAUACAGAAAGAAGCUCAUGGACUUCUGGGGGAAAAGGGGAUCAGAAGGUCAAAGUGAUGUCUGUCUACAGCCUGGCCCCAGAAAUCCCUAACUGACACUGAUAGAGAAAAACUACUGAUCUUCAGGCAGAACCUGAAGGCCCAGCUUUUUUCACUCAAGGUUUCUGGGUUAUUGGAACAGUUACUUUGCAUAAGCAGGUGACCAGAUAAUGGGGGAGGGGGCAUUUCUCCACAUCCCAUGGAACCCCUGGAUUCAGCUCACUGAGUGUCUUAGAAACACAGCAAAGAUAUGAGUGGCCUUUGGAGAUGGGGGUACUGGUACCCAGAGAAAGCCCCAGCAGUGCCCUGGGAGUCUAAUACAGAAGAUCCAGCCAUGUCCAGUAAGCAUGAGCCAGAGAAGGGGAUGAGAAUAAAACUGAUGUUGGACACCAACUGACAAAGCACUCUGCAAGGUUUAUUCCUAAGCAUUUGUGAGAAAUACUUGGAUACACAACAAAAUAACUUGUGAAGGGAAAAGGUGUUCUUGCCAUGAUCUGGCCUUACCCACAUUGGGAAACGUGUGAAUUUCAGACCAAAGACCAACUCCUACAAAGUGUACUCCAGGUUGAAUGACCCGGACUUGGAGAAUUGUUCUUCUGGGAGGUGUGGCGGAUCCCACUGUGAGAAAGAACCUGCAGGAAGGGGCCAAGGCUUCCUGAAAGAGUCAUCAUGACUCCAACACUGGACCAUAUUCUGACCACUAGAGGAACUGAAUUAGAGUUUCACUGAUGACAACUCCAUGCUGUUUGGGAUCAGCCAGACUUGACAAAACAUGCUGACACACCAAUCACGUGUCACAACACCAGACUCACAGACAACAUUUUCAUGGACACUGAGCCACUUCUGCUUUUAUCCUGUCCUCCUCCACUUCUAGCCUUCAGACACUUGGUGCCUCCCUGAGGAUACACCAACACUUCAAGAACACAGAGUGCACCUGGAGUCGGCUGAGUAGUCCUGUGUCCUGAAAUAACUGCUCGACGUUCCCAGAGCCAGUAAAUGGGAUUUGGGACAUUUUUGUCAUGAAGUCACAAUGUGGGACUAUAAAUGUCUUGCCUUUAAGGGUAGGGUCUUCCCAUGACCCAUCCAUAACAUUUGUGAAAAUGUUGUGUGUUGUGCGUUUUGGAGAGAAGAAUUUUCAUUAUCUUCACAAAGGGAUCUGUUACCCUAAAAGAUUUAGAAUCACUCAGCUUAUUGGUAAGAUGUGCCUAUUCUUUUAGACUCCAGGUGAGGCUUGAUCUCCAGUCUCAAAAGGAAAUAUAUGAUGUCAUCAGACCCCUAGUAAGGUAUUUCUGAAUGUAUGAUAUC